Molecule: ribosomal RNA, 253 nt
Filed under: uncultured bacterium
Lineage: Bacteria
Description: partial 16S ribosomal RNA
Rfam family: Bacterial small subunit ribosomal RNA
Source: RNAcentral
UACGUAGGGUGCAAGCGUUAAUCGGAAUUACUGGGCGUAAAGCGUGCGCAGGCGGCUUUGCAAGACAGAUGUGAAAUCACCGGGCUUAACCUGGGAACUGCAUUUGUGACUGCAUGGCUGGAGUGCGGCAGAGGGGGAUGGAAUUCCGCGUGUAGCAGUGAAAUGCGUAGAUAUGCGGAGGAACACCGAUGGCGAAGGCAGUCCCCUGGGCCUGCACUGACGCUCAUGCACGAAAGCGUGGGGAGCAAACAGG